RNAcentral lists this ribosomal RNA (424 nucleotides) under uncultured bacterium. Its description in RNAcentral is "partial 16S ribosomal RNA". It matches the Rfam family "Bacterial small subunit ribosomal RNA", at positions 354 to 796 of the family's 1533-position model. The record is from RNAcentral.
GUGGGGAAUAUUGCACAAUGGGCGAAAGCCUGAUGCAGCAACGCCGCGUGAAGGAAGAAGGCCCUUGGGUCGUAAACUUCUGUUCUAAGGGAAGAUAAUGACGGUACCUUAGGAGCAAGUCCCGGCUAACUACGUGCCAGCAGCCGCGGUAAUACGUAGGGGGCGAGCGUUAUCCGGAAUUAUUGGGCGUAAAGAGUACGUAGGUGGUUAUCUAAGCGAGGGGUUUAAGGCAAUAGCUCAACUAUUGUUUGCCCCGCGAACUGGGUGACUUGAGUGCUGGAGAGGAAAGCGGAAUUCCUAGUGUAGCGGUGAAAUGCGUAGAUAUUAGGAGGAACAUCAGUGGCGAAGGCGGCUUUCUGGACAGUAACUGACACUGAGGUACGAAAGUGUGGGGAGCAAACAGGAUUAGAAACCCUGGUAGUCC